This is a non-coding RNA of Oreochromis aureus, 378 nucleotides long. The record is from the annotation of a RefSeq genome assembly. NCBI's taxonomy places the organism in Eukaryota, Metazoa, Chordata, Actinopteri, Cichliformes, Cichlidae.
AACAUGACUUUGAUCUGCGUCCUCAUCUGGACUCUCCUCUGCUGCUGCUUCACAGAGUCCAGAGGACAGAUCACAGUGACUCAGCCUGGAGCAGUGAGCUCUGCUGUGGGAGGAACUGUGAACAUCAAGUGUACGACCAGUCAGAGGGUAUAUGGUGGAAGCUAUUUAGCCUGGUACCAACAGAAAGAUGGAGGAGUUCAUAAACUUCUCAUUUACUGGUCUAGCACUCGAUAUUCAGGGAUUCCAGCUCGUUUUACAGGCAGUGGAUCAGACUCUGACUUCACUCUGACCAUCAGUGGAGUCCAGGCUGAAGAUGCAGCAGUUUAUUACUGUCAGAGUUAUCAUGAGAUUAACUAUCAGUAUGUGUUCACACAGUGA